This 10298-nucleotide long non-coding RNA is filed under the name Mytilus galloprovincialis (Mediterranean mussel). Lineage: Eukaryota; Metazoa; Mollusca; Bivalvia; Mytilida; Mytilidae. The record is from RNAcentral.
CAAGUUUCCUUCCCCUGCAUUCUCGAUCCCACAUGUAAAUAGCACGGUGAUUUCAAAAAGACAUUGAUACAUCAUUACAACACUUGCCGUCAGUAUUUGAAUAUAUUGAUUAAGAAGGUAUAGAAGAUUAAUGCACGCACACUAUUAUCCACCACUGGCCUAAAUAGUUAGUCCGCAAACAACGAGGGUCAUAAAAACCCAGCACUUUGAACACAGCCACCGGCAUGGUGUGAAUCUGAAAGCUUCCCACUAUCCAUUUCUACCCAUAGAAAACUUUUGCCUUUCAUUUAUCAAAAAUGAAAUAUGUUGAUAUUAAUGGUAUAUAAGAAUUAUUGGGGAAUUCAAACCAUUCCUAUUGUAAGUGAUAAAACUAAAUUUAUAUCAGGGUGAUUGAAAUGAGGAAAAAAAAGGGGGAAUCAGGAGUUCAGGGCCCCCUGUUUGGGAAAAGAAUUGGUUGAUUAUAUAUGGAAUCACUGAGUCAUGGCAGGAGCAGGCCCCUCUUAGGCAGUCGGUGGGCCCCACUUAUGAAAAAUUCUGGAUCCACCACUGUGGUCAUGGUGGUCUUCAGUUGUAUUAUCUUUUAAAAAAAAAAUUACACCUGUAUAGUGUAUAUUCUUUAGUGUAAAUCAAGGGAAAAUACUGUGAACUAUCUGUGCAUUGGGGCUUAUUAAAAGGUAUUUCGGGGGGAAGAAAGAAGGGAGGGUGAGUCCAUGGGAGGUAAUCCCCACCCCUUUCAAUUUGAGAAUAUGCUAUUAUCUUGUAAACGGUCCAGAUCCCCAUCCCUAAACCAUAUAUAUUCUUGAAUGGGACGAUAAAAACAAAUCAAAUGAAAUUAAAAGGAGGUCUUUGGGGGUUACCCCACUCUGUUCAAUUUGAGAAUGUGCUAUUAUCUUGUGAACGAUCCAGAUCCCCACCCCUAAACCAUAUAUAUUCUUGUCGGGGACAAUAAAAUUAAUAAUGAAAUAAAAUAAAAGUGAAGUCCCACCCCCUCUAGUUUGAAAACUUGUAAACGGUCAAGAUCCCCACCCCUAAACCAUAUUUAUAUAUUCUUGUAUAGAACAAUAAAACAAAUCAAAGGAAAUAUAGGGAGAGUCCAUGGGGUUCACCCCCACCCCCACAUGUUUGAGAAACUUUUAAAUGGUUGAGAUCCCCUGUCAUCCAGUGGUUAGGUGAAAAAAUUUCAGGAUCCCUGAUCCCCACCGUCAAACCAUAUAUAUUCUUGUAUGAGACAAUAAAACAAAUCAAAUGAAUAUAGGAUCAUCCCCUUUGUCUUGGGUUGGGAACCCCCCUUUUUAAAAUGGCUGGAUCCGCCCCGGCAUACCAUCUAGCUAGCUAUAAAGGCUUUAAAAAUAUGAAAUCAAACAAGGAAAUUAACAGUGUAGGCAACUGUUUUGAAUUUAAAAAAAAUCCUUUUACAUAUAUAUAACAAUGUUAAAUUUUUUUGUGCAUUUAUUUUUGCUUAUCGUAUUUUCAAUAAUAGACAAAAUUGCAUGAUUGAAUAUUGUAAUUUAAGAAAAAUCAGCAUACAUGAUAUAAAAUGGGAAGUGGAAACUGGGAAUUUGACAAAGAGACAACAACCCAAUCAAAGAGCAGACAACGGCCGAAGGUCACCUAUGGGUCUUCAAUGCAGUGAGAAAAAUUCGGCACUGGUCUUCAGCUCAUAAAUAUGUAUCAGAAAUGAAAACGAGAUACAGCUUUCAGUUGUAUUAAUAAAAACCUCACAAUAAGUUCUGAAUAUCAGAAUAUACAGUAUUGCAAGAUUCUCUCAAAAUGUACACAUAGAGCUGAAAAACUGUCAGUGACUGUAAAAUUAAUCAUGCUUACAUUAAAGUCCAUGGAGUCCAUCUUAAUAUGCAUACUCUCGUACAAAGGAAUAUAAGUAUGCAAUAGACAUCAAGUUUUCAAAAAUAAGAGUAUCUAUGCCAUUAAUUUACGACAAGAUCUUAAUCAAGUAAUAAUUUCGGUUUGUUUAAAUAUUUCGGAGGUUAGUAUGACCUCCUCUUUGGUGAUGAUGUUUUUUCGUUUUAAAGUUGGGAAAAUUGUUUGUACAUGUACCAACAAAAAUAAAAACACAAAUUCAAUCUAGAAUUAUGUUUUUAUCAUUUUUUUAUGUUUAGGUUGUCAGCAAGAUGAAAAGGACAAGUAUGCAGUUCAAAAUUCAAAAUGUGGAUAAGUUGAGGUUCUAGGUCUUACCUUUGCAGAUUUUCAUAUUUUGCAUGAAUGAAUUCAAAGGUUAUAUGAUGGACAGCAGAGAAAGAAAAAAACAACUUUUCAAUUAUCCUGCUCCUGGAUAAAUGUAAAACAUCUUGUUUUUCGGUAAGUUUUAUGCUCUGUUUUGAUAGUGUUAGUGCAUUCAUCUUUCCAGUCUUUCCUCUAAAUUGUAAGUUUUUGGUGAGUGUUCACCAUGAAUUUCAGUAAGUAACUUGUGGAUUUACAUGUAUAUACUCAAAAUUUAGUACUAAUAUUAAUGGGAUUUUAGCAUGACAUCCUGCCAAAUGCUUGUUAAUCAUGUUUAUGUUCCAGAACAAACAAGUAUUUGGACUGUACGCAUACAGUCUGCCCAAUUUUAAGAAGUUGGUCAAGUUUAUUACAAACAAAUGUACAGUACAGAUCAACAUAACUGAAAUCUUUAAUAGAUUAAUACAAAAAGUUUAAUUGCAGUUAAAAUAAAAACACAGGUUUGGUUGAGCUGGUACCAGACAGUACAAGUAUACUUAAAUGGUCUGACUGUACACAUAUGGUGGGACUGUAAGUUCUGGACCAUAAAAGUAAGAUCCGAAUACUGAUAUGGUCUGGAACAUUUAUACAUGUCUUAAAAUUAAUAUCAAACACAUUGGUGUUUUUGAACUUGGUAAUAAGUUAUGUGAUAGAACUAUAAUGUUUUGGGAUAUCAAAAUCAAAAAUAUCCCAUUUUUACUUUUAAUAAAGAAGAAGAUUAUUGAUGUAUGUUUAAAUGUAUAUUUAAAAUGAGACAGCAAGCCAACAACACAAAAAAAAGGAUAAAACAUACAUAUUUUGUUUGUAUCAAUGUUAUAAUUUCCAAUAUGUUCAAGGUAUUUUUUCAUUGAAAUAAAACACAAAUUGAAAUCUGUCUGAACUUCAAAAGCUUAAAGAAAUAUUGUUUCUGUUGUCUGCAUUUUGUAUAAUAUAUUGCAAAUUCUUGUGAAUAAUGGAAUGUUAUUAUAGUUGUCUAAAGUUUUAACUUUUAACAUUGAUCUUUAUACUGUAAAAUUCAUAAAUUAUUGCGUGCAUUUAUUAUUGCGAUUCUGUCAUUUUAGACUUAAAUGCGAUUUUAAAUUUUACGAUUUUGAAAAAAUCCUGUUUAAUCCAUAUAAAAUAUUUCAUAAUACGAGUUUAAAUUAUUGCGUUUACAACUCCGUUGCAUUUUUCGCAAUAAAAAAAAACUUGCAUUAAUUCCGAAUUUACAGUAUAUAUAUAUAUAUUAUGUAUAUAACUUGGGAAAAUACCCAAAUUUUAUAAAGAAGAAUAAAUUAAUUGAUUGUUAUAUGGUAUUAGAAUAGGAAGAUGUGGUAUAUUGCUAAUUUGACAACCCUCCAUCAGAGACCAAAGGAUGUAGGCCGUUAGCAACUGAUGACACUGGACAACCUUUAACAAUCAGUAAAAUCCAUACCGCAUAGCUAUUUUUAUUGAAAAUCAUAUUAUUGCUACAUGUAUGAAAACAAUUUUGUAUAAUCCAUUACUUUAGAUUUUAUUGGUUCUUUUUCAGAAGGAUUGAAAUUCACCACCUAAAAUAAAUGGAGAAAACAUAGAAACAAGACCAGAAUAAAUUCAAAGAAAAAAAGUUGGAUCAGUUAUUAUUUUCAUCACUCAGUCAAUGAUUUGAAGUUCUUUUAAAUUCAAAAAAAAUAUUGAAACCACAAUAAUGUCAAAGUUCUGUGCUGAAUGUCCAAAAAGUGGACUAUACCAUCAAACAAUGCUGGAUGAUAAGAAACUAUUAAUGUUUUGUGUGUUGAGGGAUAUUGUGAAAAAAAUAGAUUUACUUAAAUAGCUACUAGUAUGUUAAGCCUAACAAUAGAGUUUUUAUUGAUUUCAAAUGGCAAAUAAUUGUGUUUCAAGAAAGUAUUCUAUAAUUCAUGAAUAAACAUAUAUUGAUACUUACAUUAUCUGCUUUGUUGUUUAAAAGUUUAGUUUUGAACAGUUAAAGAACAAUAUGCUAAAUUAACAUUUCCCAAGAAAAAAAGAUAUUCAAUUAAAAAGAUUCAUCUUAUAAUAAUUUACUACCAAAUAGAAUACAUUGUAACAUACACAUUACUGUUUAUUUAUAUCUAUAUAUUUACAAUUAGAAUCCCAUAGGAUUUUAAUUUGUCCCAUGGGAUAUUAAAAAUCCCAUGGGAUAUAAAAAAUCCCAUGGGAUUUUUUUUGUCCCAUGGGACAACAAAUAUCCCAUGGGACUACAAUAAUCCCAUGGGACAAAAAAAAAUCCCAUGGGAUUUAACCAAAAUCCCAUGGGAUAAUGGUAAAUCCCAUGGGAUUUUGCCCUGUCCCAUGGGAUAUUGAAAAUCCCAUGUUUUUAUAAUUCAAAUUGCAAAAUAAAUAUGAAAGUAACUGUAGAAAACCAAUGAAAUUAUUGAAUCCCAUGUAAUUCUGCACAUUUUGGUUAUAUACAUGAUAUUGUAGCUCUUGUUUGAGGCGGCGGCGGAUUUGCAAAUGAGUGUUUUGCAAAUUAAAGUGUCGUGUUUAAAAAUGUGGACCAGUAAUUAAUUCUUUGCACGAGUUUGAAAAGGGAAAUACAUACUUUAAAAGAAUUUAUAUUAAUUAAGUUUUGUAUAUGAAAUCCGUUCUUAACGGUAAAAGCCGUACUUUUCAAACAAUCAAACUCAUAUACAUGUAGUUAGAUGUUAUUUCUUAUUUUUAUCGAACUUGUCCAGGAAUUUUAUUUUUGAGUUAUACGAAUAUUUUAAGAAAUCCGUUUUAAUUAAGUUUUUUUUCUCUUAUUAAAGUGGUUUUGUCCAGUUUCACAAGCCUGAAACGAAUUUCAAUGCGAAAAUAAAUGAACUUGUCUCCGUUUUCGUCUCCGUUUUUUGAAAAUUAUGAUAUUUUGGGUAUAAUUAUUUCUAAAAAAAUAUGUAAGUUAGAUUGUAGUAGCGAGAAAUUAUAAAAAAAAGAAGAUGUGGUAUGAUUGCUAAUGAGACAACUAUCCACAAAAGACCAAAAUGACACAAACAUUAACAAAGAAAGACUAUUUCGAAGACAGUUUAUUGACACGAAAUCCGUUCAAACCACGACUAAGUCUUCGUGCACAGAUUACCGUUAAGGUUAAACUGAAUAUUGUACAUAAUUGUCUUCUCUUGUAUAAUGGUUUGUUGAGAAUAAAGAUAUACAAAUGUAAUAAAAUUUGAUAUUCAGUCAACAUUGUGUUUGUUUAAAAACUUGAUUAAGAGAGAGAGAGAGAGAGAGAAAAGAAUCACACUGAAAAACAAAAAUCGAACUUGUUACAGAAAAAAACGCAACUAUAAAAUAAUUUUCUUUAUUCGUGAACUGCAAAACACAACAAAUUAAUUUACCCGUCAUCAUGAAAAAUAAACUGAAAAAGCACAUCGAAUGAGAUAUAUAUUUUAUUUUUUCUAUAUGCAAAUUCAUGUUAAAGGUAAAACUGAACUAAACAAUACAAUUCCUUAAAGAUAAUCCAAUCAAUUUUGUUGAUUGGAUAAUUCAUGGCUCAGUAGUUGUGUAAUCAGUGACACGUGCCCUCAUUAUUUUAUAAGAAUUAACAUAUCUAUCUAAGUUCGAUUCAGGCGCGGAUCCAGAGGGGGGAGGGGGGUUCCGGGGGGUUUGGAACCCCCUUUUUUUGGCCGAUCAAUGCAUUUGAAUUGGGACAUGUAGUUGAACCCCCCCCCUUUUUGUGUCCUGGGUUAGGACCCCCCUUUUUUAAAAUGGCUGGAUCCGCCCCUGCGAUUUCAACUUCUACCAAAAUUUAACUCUAAAAUAAGAAGCGUAUAACGAAUAUAAACAUCCAUCAUGUGUGCAGAUAUGAUUACGGUAAUGGGUCCUGGGUGCACUUUGUAUGUCCUGAGCCGUUGUUUAGACGUACCCGAAGAAAAAAUCAUUUCCUGAACCUAAAAUACAUUUAUCUGUAAUUAAAGAAAAUUCGCCUAAAACAUUCUCUCAUAUAUUUAAACAAUUAAUUGUAAAAUAAUUAAUUCAACGUCGAACUUUCUGUCUGUUUACUAAUACUUUUCUUGUUCAGUUUAGUUUAUAUACCCAUAAUAGAUGAACGGAAAUAAGUACUUUUUUAGGAAAAUUUACAACUAGAUGAACGGAAUUAAGUACUUUUUAGGAAAAUUUACAACUCAAAUUUUCAAAAACAAAAUUCUACACUUUUUACUUGGAUGUUUUUCUCUGUCUCGAAGCCGCAACCGUUGGCCCCGUAUCAAACGUAGCGACCAACACCUCACAUGACGUAUUCUCGAUGUUGAGGUAUUGACAAUAUACAAUCACAUUUAUCAAUAUACAGCAGCCAAGUAAGUAAUUUGGUGUUGAAUGCCAGUAGAUCAGAAUUUGUUAAUUGAACUUUACCUGUUUAAGGGGCACUAGCUGCCAAAUUCAUGUUCUUCAUCGAUUUUAAUAAAAUUCACAUAACGUGUAUAUAGUGUUGAAUUGUUUAUUAAAAUGUUGCGCACAAUCUUGGCUGAUAUGCAUAAAACCAUUAUAUUUCAUGACACUGCAUGAAAAAGAAAUUGACUUAUCGCAUAUUACCAGAACCAGAGACAUAUAUAUAUUGUAUCUAAUAUCUCUGCCAGAACUAAAAAAUAAACUACAGUAAGUCCACAUACACAUAAGAGGAUGUGAAUUAACAGAAUAGAGAACAAAGGACAAAGAAAAAAAGGAUUAAAGAAUAGUGAAAGAAAGAGAAUAAUGGAAAAAAAAGUGUAAGUUAUUAAAAAUAUAACUAAAAAAAGAAGACAGAAAAAAAGACACCCCUCCGAGACGAGCCUUACAUGCACUGUCACGGGUAGUAAGGUCGUCAUUCCGAGGAGCGUUUAGUACAGUGAUUUUGUCAUAGUUUGGAUAAGUUUGACAUGACGGUGUUAAUUCUUUUUGAUGACAAUCAAUGCAAUAAUGUAAACAUUGGGAUAUUUUGUAAACGGAACCUCUAAUCAUUAAUUCAAGUUGUAUAAAGUAAAUAUGCUAGUACAUAACAAGUGGUAUCAUAUAGUUAAUGACUUAACACAGAACAAAGCUUGCGUAUGUCAAAAUUUAAAACUUGCUAAUUGGCCUAUCGUGCAUAAAAAAAGUUAUUUUCUUACAGUCUGUUACAUUACAUAUAUCUUCGUGAUAUAACACUGCCGUCAAUUAUUCGGAAAAACACCUACUUUUGCAAUCAAUUCAAAAUUACUGAAAUAUCUGUGUCAUGGUUUGGUUCAUUUGUGUCAUGGUUAAGUUCAUGUUCGACAUGGUUCAGUUAUGUAAUUCUUGCCGUGUAUAAUGAAGAGUUACUACCAAAAUUAAGAAAAAUCGUUCCAUUUGAAACACAAAAGGACAAAAGAACGCACAUACAAUGUAGUAAUAUGUUUUCUUCGCGAUAUACGCUAUACAUGUAUAUGUAGUUUCAUUGAAUAGCAUUAUAUUAAACAAUAUUGAGAGGAUCCUAUUUUUUUAUAUAUGUUUCUUAAUUUUUAAAUCUUUUAUUGCCGCAGUCAUAUUAUAAACUUGAAUCCUAACAAUACUACGUUUAUUUAUUUCAGCAGCCAUGCAAUGUUUGACUAACCCCGAAAAUCUACUGCUAAACGUAAAAGUGCAAUCGUGAACCCAUAUGAUGGAUUUGCACAUGGUGCUCAAGGAAUUCGUCAGUACCAUAAACGCGCAUGUUAUGAUAUCUAAAUAAGUCAUUAUUUUGAAAAUGAGACAAUUUAUCAUUUAAACUUUAUGAAUGCUAGAAAUGAAUCAGUAUCACCAACAGCUUCAAAUGACUCGUCUAACAUUUUGCCUAAAGGAGCAAUAGAUGCAAUUGCCUCUGAAAAUUGUAUGAGUCCAAUUCAAUGCAUUUGUGUGAAAUUUGGAGCCUUAUCGUGUAAAUAAAUAACAAACAAAAAAACAAUUAUGAAUUUGACUGCGUUAUUUUUUGCUAAACAUAUUUAGUUACAUAAAUUGAAAAGAAGUUAUAAACUACGAAAUCAUAUAUUGAGAAUAGUUUGAUGGUUUCAGAUCUCUGGUUGCCUCUGUCUAAUUUAUUAACCCAUUUUAUAGAAACAGGCAGAUACAGAGUUUUGCCUAUUUAAUUUAUCCUAUUGUUGAAGAAUUCAUGUUUGUGUUGUUGGUUUGCUGUUUCAUUUAUGUAUUUCCUGCGUCAUCUUACAUUUGAUAUUACCUAGUAAAUUGAAAAUCAAAUAAGCAAAAAUGAUAAACGGCAAAUAUAGAUAGCAUACAAAUAUCAUUGAAUAUUCUAAGAAGUUCAAAUGAAGUGUACUUGGGAUAUAUAUCAACAAACUUACCAUCUGUUUCAUCUUCGUCCAUCUUAUUAUGCGUUCUGUCCUAUUACAAACGAUGAUUUCUUGUCUAGCCAGGUCAAAAUUAACAGUUUAAAUGUACAUGUAGCAGACAAUAUAACACGUGUUUCUUUGAUUUUCAAUCCUUUUUUGUUUCAAUCGCAUGUAAUAAUAUACCACCUCAUACUUAAAACUAGAUCGCAGGAGUUUUUUUCAGAUAGUAUAGAAACUAUAUUACAUAAAAAGUAAAAAAAUAUUUGAAAUAAUUUAAUGAUACUAUACACGAUAUAAAAAAAAAAGAUGUGGUAUGAUUGCCAAUGAGACAACUAACCACAAAAGACCAAAAUGACACAAACAUUAACAACUAUAGGUAACCGUACGACCAUUAACAAUGGGCAAAGCCCAUACCACAUAGUCAGCUAUAAAAGGCCUCGAUAAAACAAUGUAAAACAAUUAAAAUUAGAAAACUUGAUGCAUUUAUACAAUAUUACAAAGAUUAUUAUUGAUUCGUAAUAAUAAUUGAUAAACUUGAACAUUAUAUCGGCUUAAAUCCAAAAUUGGAGUUAUGAUCUUUCAUAUUUUAAAUUCGCACUUUAUAACUACUUUUUAUUGUAAUUUCACCUAUUAUAGUUUUAAAACCAAUAAGUUUUAAAACUGUUGUCCAUGUCACGCGUAACUAUUCGGUUUCGUAAAUGGUUGAAGACUUAUGAUGUCCUCUUAAUAUCUUGUGGUUAGUUUUGUAGUUGGGUUACUGUAUCAUGGACCUCUAACCCAACAUCUCCUUUUAUUCAUCAUAAACCGAUUCAAAAGUUAAAAUAAAAAAUCCAACAAAUGUAUAGUUUUCUAGAAAAAAAAACAAAAAAAAAAAAGAAUUACUUUUGGACUGGCUGCCACUUUUGAGUAGAAGUCUUUAGCUAUUUGACUAGUGAUGCCGCUCAUGAUUUUCCCGGCAGGGAUAUGGAUGAAAGAUUAUAUGUGAAACAGAAGCAACGCUUUGUCUUUUAUUUUUGUAAAAUUAUAAAGAGCAGUGAUUGUUAAAUUAUAUUGUAGAAAACAUGUUUACUUUACGCUUUGUCGAUCACACCCACUAAAUUUGGUUAAACAAGUUUUUUCUUCUUCUCAGGAAGUUAAUAUAUAGUGUAACUUCGUUCAAUAACAGGCGCUAUCAAUCAAAUUUUCAGUAUUAAAGUGAAACACAUAUAUAUUUAUUUCGAUCUAAACCAUGACAAUCUUGACCAAAACCAUGACGAAUUUCUAGACUCUUAACCGAACCAUGUCAUUCGCUUAACCAAACCAUGGCAAUUCCGAUAUCUUGCUUAUUCUGCGUUAAUUUCGUGAAAUAACAAUUCCAAUAUAGAUAGUUUGACUUCCAAUACAGAUUCAAGCAUCUUAUUUGCUUUUCAUCUGCUCGUGUGAAUAGAACUGAGGCAAUAGUUUGGGGAAACAACAUAAAUUAACCAUGUCAAACUUAUCCAAACUAUGACAAAAUCACUGUACUAAACGCUCCUCGAUAUGACGACCUUACUACCCGUGACUGUUAUUACCCAAGGUUAAUUUUACGGCGGCUCAUUUUAUUUUGGCUUAGAAAUAAACAUAAUUGACAAGUGUCCUUCCCCUGCAUUCUCGAUCCCACAUGUAAAUAGCACGGUGAUUUCAAAAAGACAUUGAUACAUCAUUACAACACUUGCCGUCAGUAUUUGAAUAUAUUGAUUAAGAAGGUAUAGAAGAUUAAUGCACGCACACUAUUAUCCACCACUGGCCUAAAUAGUUAGUCCGCAAACAACGAGGGUCAUAAAAACCCAGCACUUUGAACACAGCCACCGGCAUGAUGUGAAUCUGAAAGCUUCCCAC